CGCUAAAAAUAUUACACUUUUUACGGCACACAAAAAUUCAAUCAUUAAAAAAUAUACUUUUCACGAUGCACAUAUACUAACUGUUAAAAAUAUUUUACUUUUUACGACAUGUAAUUCCUGUCGUGAGUAAUGAGUAAUAUGACCAAAAUAAAAAUAGGCGCCAAAAGUAAAAUACUCUGGCGCCAAAUGUAAAAUGAAAUAAUCUUCGAAUUGGCGUAGUUGUCUCUCUCUACACGAAUGCUAAAAGCUCAGUGAUCUCCAGAAGUUACUACUACUCUCUACUCCACCACACUCUUCCAUUUCAAACCCUAAAUCUCUACUCCUCCACCACACUUCCAUUUCAAACCCUUAAAUCAUAUUCUCACUCUCUUUCACUCUCUCCUCCAAUUUCUCUCUCUACAACCCACAACGACCAUGGCUCUUCUCUCACCCAAUUCAUCGAUCCAGAGCUGCCAUGGAGACUAGCAAAAGGCGAGAGCUGGUUUUCAGAGACUUCCAUUACCUUUUACCCGUUCCGAACUCACUCAACACUCAUCACGAUGGAUCGGUAUCAGAGGGUAGAGAAACCGUGGCCAAAGACGCCGAUUAAGAAUGAGAUUCGUAUAACCACUUAGGGAAGGAUGAGGAACUACAUUAUUUAUGCUACCACUCUGUUUAAGGUCUCUCUCUCUCUCUCUCUCUCUCUCUCUCACACACACACACACACACACACACAUAGAAAAAUUAGGGUUUUGAUUGAACAAAUAAAAAAUUAGAAUUGUGUUUCAGGUUGUGAAAUUAUUAUUAUUUUUUUGUUUUUAAAUUUCUUGAAUGCGAGUUGGGGAAAAUGUCUGAAUCUGAAUUGGAAAAAUUAAAACCUGAAUGUGAAAUUAGGUUCUUGGGUUGAACACAUUUUUUUUUUAAAUAUAAAUUUGUUGAAUCUAAAGAAAUUGGGUUCUAUUACGAAUCGUCUUCCGACAAUAGGAAUCAUAAAUGCACAAACCAUCAUAUAGAAUGAAAGUGAAACACAGCACACAGGGAAAUCUUGAAAGACAAACACAAUUGUGACAGCAGUGUUGCAGUAAUUUAGAAUGUAGAACUAUAUUCCACUGUAUACAGAUGAAAGGUGCUAUAUGUAAUGAUAGUUUAUGUUAAUUUUGUGAAGAAAAAAAAAGGCAACAGUUUCAUUUAGUUUGGUGAGCACACAAUUUAAAAAUUACACUGUUGUUUCAUAAUUUUUAACCAGAAACACGACCCACAUACUAAAAACCUUAGUGUAUGACCUGACAAACACCAACAAUUUUUUCAUCUUUCCCCAGAAAUCAAGGUUAAGUGGCCAAACCAGGUAACCACUUGGCUUACACUGGCAGUGGUAUAAGGUAGAAAAAAUGGAAGCUUGGAACUUCCAAGUUUUGCUGAAAUUUUUUAACCUUAUUCUAAUGAUAUCCUUUAACUAAAGAAUGGAAGACAACAGGACAUCUUUCAUCUUAGAAAUUUGCUAAAACAGAAAAAGGGAAAGCAUUUUUAUUGCUUUCUUUUACGCCUCAGAAAGAAAAUUUGAAGCAUAAUAUUGCCUUAACAAUUCCAAUGUGAAAAGAUGACAAACUUGUUCCUGAUAAUUUCCAAUAUGGCACAUAUACAUAUAAACCCAAUCAAAUAGCUCUAUAAUAAUUCCUGUAUUCCUGUAUAAAAUUGUCAAAUAGUCCAAUACAACCGAGCUGUCUUCAAGAAAGUACCAGCUCAAUAAUGUCGUGCUUCUCCUUCAGCCAUAGACUAUUCUUCAAACUUUGCCAAUGGGCUUCCUUUCUCAUUUGAGAUUCAGGUGCAGAUUUUUCUUUUUAAUUUUAUUUUUGAAACAAAAAAGAAAACACAGAUGGCUGUGGAAACUUCUUCAAAAAUAGAAUUGUCAAGAUCCAAUAAAGCUUUAUAGAACGUUAUUAACUAAUUUAAGUUAUGCACUCAAGAAGUGGGUAAUUGCUUUGUUACUUGUCAAAAGGGAGUUUGAUCAUAAACAAAAGGCAAGGUCCCUUUUAGGAAACCGCAUUAAUGGUUCAAUUCCAAAGGAAAUCAAAUCAGAGACAUUGCUACUCUUGAGGAGCUGUAAGUCAUGGAUACUGUUCUGUCUACUGGACUAAUAAAUGAAGCCUGACCUUGAUUUUAACGUGAACUAUCUUAUACAGGGUCUUGGAAGAUAAUCAGCUUAGAGGACCUCUUCAUCAAAACCUUGGAAAUUUGAGCUGCAUGAGGAGGCUCUUUCUUUCUGCCAACAAUUUUACUGGAACAAUUCCAGACACAUUCAGCAAAUUGAAAAACUUGACAGAUUUGCAUAUGCAAGGCACAUCCAUGGAUGGCCCCAUUCCUUCUACCAUAUCCCAGCCGAAAAACAUAACCGAGUUAUUACAUUGGUGAAUUGGCUACACUUAAAACAUUGCAAACCAUUGAUGUUCUGGCUGCGAGACUCUACUUCUAUUACUCUCUCAGUUAUGAGCUCACUGGUGAUCUUACUGAAAUUCAGA
Camellia sinensis is the source of this 2495-nucleotide non-coding RNA. The record is from RefSeq and is a predicted model, not a curated record. Lineage: Eukaryota; Viridiplantae; Streptophyta; Magnoliopsida; Ericales; Theaceae.